AGUGAACGCUGGCGGUAGGCCUAACACAUGCAAGUCGAACGGCAGCACAGUAAGAGCUUGCUCUUACGGGUGGCGAGUGGCGGACGGGUGAGGAAUACAUCGGAAUCUACUUUUUCGUGGGGGAUAACGUAGGGAAACUUACGCUAAUACCGCAUACGACCUACGGGUGAAAGCAGGGGAUCUUCGGACCUUGCGCGAUUGACUGAGCCGAUGUCGGAUUAGCUAGUUGGCGGGGUAAAGGCCCACCAAGGCGACGAUCCGUAGCUGGUCUGAGAGGAUGCUCAGCCACACUGGAACUGAGACACGCUCCACACCCCUACGCGAGGCAGCAGUGGCGAAUUUUGGACAAUGGGCGCAAGCCUGAUCCAGCCAUACCGCGUGAGUGAAGAUGACCUUCGGGUUGUAAAGCCCUUUUUUUGGGAAAGAAAAGCAGCAGGUUAAUACCCCGCUGUUCUGACGGUACCCAAAGAAUAAGCACCGGCUAACUUCGUG
Molecule: ribosomal RNA, 492 nt
Filed under: uncultured bacterium
Lineage: Bacteria
Description: partial 16S ribosomal RNA
Rfam family: Bacterial small subunit ribosomal RNA
Source: RNAcentral